RNAcentral lists this ribosomal RNA (900 nucleotides) under Triticum aestivum (bread wheat). RNAcentral's name for it is "partial small subunit ribosomal RNA". The record is from RNAcentral. Lineage: Eukaryota; Viridiplantae; Streptophyta; Magnoliopsida; Poales; Poaceae.
AUGACGAUCAUUAAAAUGCCAAAUCUGGUGGCUGGCAACGAUCCCAAUGACGAUCCUGUGGGGCAUAGACCGGCCCCCCCUGACGCACCGGCCUGUCGGGAUCUGGCCCAUGGUUGUUGCGCGCCUGUCGCCUCGCAGGAGAGAUCUGCAGCGCCCCGGUCGGGACAAAGUGGAGAUACCGCCCCACCCGAGCCAGAGGUGGGGCUGGAUUCCCCUGACCAGUCCGACGCCACCAAUCCCUCUCGCGAUGCCUCGGGCGAGGAAACGCCCCCUCUCGGCGCCAACCCUCCCGCCCUUGCUGCUGGGCCGUCUCCACCUGCUGCCGCGCGGCCGGCCCGCGGCCCAACAGGCCCGAUUGCGAUUCUGCAGCGGCCCACGCCCACACCUCCCCUCCUGCUGCCCACCGAAGACCAGCUACUCCCAAACGCUGGGGCCGCGACAAACCAAGGCCCAAGUGGCCGCACGUCGAGCCGCUUCGCAUCGCCUCCAAUUACGCUGCGGCGAUCCCGAAGCCGCACUACGCCACAGCCAUGGACCCUUGGAGAGUUUCUGGCCACCGCCACGAAACACCUCAACGCCGCCCUGCCGGCCCCUGGAAAGAAGCCACGCCGUCCCCUCAACUUCGCCCCUCGCCGUGGACGAUCUGCAGCUACGACUUGCCAACCGAGCGCCCCUCCCACGGCGGAGCGGCGCGCCCACGUACAAAUCCUGCGCACCCUUGGAAUCAUAGGGAUCGAUCAGAAGAUCACUGCCGCUGAGAUGAAAGCCUAUGACGGCAUGUUCGCGGCACCGCUACCCCUGACGGUACUCAAGGCCAUUGCCACACUGGUUGACCGCGAGAUCCCAGUCCGCAUGGCAUCGGCUGUGACCGGCAGCGUCGACGUUGCAUGUGAAGGCUAG